Molecule: long non-coding RNA, 1180 nt
Organism: Bos taurus (domestic cattle)
Lineage: Eukaryota; Metazoa; Chordata; Mammalia; Artiodactyla; Bovidae
Source: Ensembl
CGCCCCAGGCCCUUCCAACCCUGGCCCUGCUCAGGUUCCCGGGUUUGUCCCGACAGGGUCCUGGACCUUGGCCCCGGCUCCGCCUGCGCCAGUCUCCGCCCCGACCUCAGCCCAGGCCCAGCCCGGCAGCGGCUCGGGUACUGGGCUCCGCCCAGACCCCGGCCCAGGCCCGCCCCCCUCAGCCCUAGCUCCGCCCCGACCCCAGUCCGCCGGCGGGAGGCACAGGAGCUUGGCCAAGUCCCCACAAGCUCCGCAGAGUGCACGGUGCCCUGCACCGUCUUGCUUUUCUCUGAGAGUUAGAUGCUAGGGCCCUGGGAUGGGCGAAGUGACUGUGCCUUCGCAUUUAGAACCUGGCUAUUUGCUCUGGACCUCUAGGCCUCGCCGCAAAUCCUGCUGAAACGGGAAAGGGCGGGAUCUAGACGUUGAGGAACUAGGAGGAUCUGAACUGAAGGGCACUACCGGCUCCACAGGGUCACUGAAGACCUGUUUGCCACCCCCUGGGGGCAGAACAAGAGGAAGAGAGUUAGGAGGCUGGGCCGUCUGGGUGCCGUCACUUCCUGGCUGGCAAUCCUGGUCAAGUAGCUUAAUUUAACAUCCUUCCACUUUUCUUAUUGGCAAAUUGAAAUGAAUGAUAUCCACCCCAAAGGAUUUUUGUGACAACUGAGAUAAUGUACAGAAGGUGUCUGGCACAGAAUACACUAAAUAUGAGAUGCUGCUGCUGCUGCUAAGGCACUUCAGUCGUGUCCGACUCUGCGACCCCAUGGACGGCAGCCCACCAGGCUCCCCCCGUCCCUGGGAUUCUACAGGGAAGAACACUGAAGUGGGUUGCCAUUUCCUUCUCCUAUGAAAAUGAAAAGUGAAAGUGAAGUCGCUCAGUCAUGUCUGACUCUUCGUGACCCCAUGGACUGCAGCCUACCAGGCUCCUCGGUCCAUGGGAUUUUCCAGGCAAGAGUACUGGAGUGGGGUGCCAUUGCCUUCUCCAAUGCAUGAAAGUGAAAAGUGAAAGUGAAGUCACUCAGUCAUGUCUGACUCUUCCUGACCCCAUGGACUGCAGCCUACCAGGCUCCUCGGUCCAUGGGAUUUUCCAGGCGAGAGUACUGGAGUGGGGUGCCAUUGCCUUCUCCGAAAUAGGAGAUGGGGGAGGGGUAAAUUAUUUAAAACGUUUGCUAAGAGAUUUAGU